AUAAAUUAAAUUAAAUUACUAGAUUAACAUUGGCAUGAUAUAAAUUCAAAAGCUAAUAAGCAUUGUAUAUAAUUCAUAUCAAGAUGCAUAUUUUUAAAAAAAUUGAAAAAAUUCAAUUGGUUCCUGAAGUAGUGGUAUAGCAAAACAAUCCUGCACCUAAAUUAGAUUAAACUUGACAAGAGAAUAUUGAAAUGAGAGGACAGAUAUCAAAAUAGGCUGCAACUUCUGCCUGCAGAAUUGAGAAAACAUUCUGCCGACAUAAUGAGAACCAGUUUUUAUCAUUGCUCAAAAAUCUGAAAUCUACUUCAAAACCGAACAUUAUAACCCUAAUUUAUAAUAAGCACACAAUCCCGCUAAAGUAAGAUCUUUAUUACAAAUCAUAAUAGAAAAAGGAAUUAAAUAUAACCAGAACAAAGUUUUAUAAUAAAUCCUAAUACAAAGGAUUCAACUAUUCUAAAUAAAGUCUUGACUUGAUUAAAAUAUUCUUAAUUUGAAAAUUCAUAUAGUAUCAUGAACAGUGAUCCAUCACAUUAACAUGAAGUGCAACUUUCUAAAAAUUCUGAAACUUUUGCUCUUGCAUCAACCAAAAAAAAUGAAAAAGAAAAAAACCAUUGGUAUUAAAUGUCAUCUAAUUAGAAAUCAAUGCAAUCUCAUGGAUCCUCAAAUCAGAUCAUUAGCUGUACUUCUAAUACUGUUUAAAGUUAUGUCUCAGUCAAUACCCCAAACCCAGGUCAUAUUACAACAAGCAGUAAAUCAUGUUUAAACUGAAAUUCAUGAAAUUUAAACCAAGCAUGGCAAUGAAUACUGAUGGUUUUUGAGAAGGGUAGAUUACAUAAAAAUGUACAGCCCUGAACCAGACUAGUCUUUUUGUCCAUAUUUAUCUCCUUUAUUCAUAUUCAAAUUCUGGCAUUAGUUCUACCUCCACGUUUCUGAUGCCUCUGUUACACUAAUGAGCUAUAAGAGAAGGAAUUUAAAGAAUAAAAACAGAAUCUAGUUCUUUUUCAUUGAAAAUGGAACAAAAAUCCCAUCCUUCAUUCAAAUAUAAGUUUAUCCUUGCUCUAUACAGAGAGA
RNAcentral lists this long non-coding RNA (1071 nucleotides) under Jatropha curcas. Its description in RNAcentral is "long non-coding RNA (JCUR_LNC002392)". Lineage: Eukaryota; Viridiplantae; Streptophyta; Magnoliopsida; Malpighiales; Euphorbiaceae. The record is from RNAcentral.